This 229-nucleotide ribosomal RNA is filed under the name uncultured bacterium. RNAcentral describes it as "partial 16S ribosomal RNA". It matches the Rfam family "Bacterial small subunit ribosomal RNA", at positions 568 to 796 of the family's 1533-position model. The record is from RNAcentral.
UGCGCAGGUGGGCUUGUAAGUCAGUGGUGAAAUACUGCCGCUUAACGGUAGAACUGCCAUUGAUACUGCAAGUCUUGAGUAUGGUUGAGGUAGGCGGAAUGUGUUGUGUAGCGGUGAAAUGCAUAGAUAUGACACAGAACUCCAAUUGCGAAGGCAGCUUACUGAGCCAUUACUGACGCUGAGGCACGAAAGCGUGGGGAGCGAACAGGAUUAGAUACCCUGGUAGUCC